Molecule: ribosomal RNA, 405 nt
Filed under: uncultured eukaryote
Lineage: Eukaryota
Description: SSU rRNA
Rfam family: Eukaryotic small subunit ribosomal RNA
Source: RNAcentral
AGCUCCAAUAGCGUAUAUUAAAGUUGUUGCGGUUAAAAAGCUCGUAGUUGGAUUUCUGCCGAGGACGACCGGUCCGCCCUCAGGGUGAGCAUCUGGAUCGGCCUGGGCAUCCUCUUGGGGAACGUAGCUGCACUUGACUGUGUGGUGCGGUAUCCAGGACUUUUACUUUGAGGAAAUUAGAGUGUUUCAAGCAGGCUUCCGCCUUGAAUACAUUAGCAUGGAAUAAUAUGAUAUGACUGUGGUUUUAUUUUGUUGGCUUUUAGAAUUAGAGUAAUGGUUAAUAGGGAUAGUUGGGGGCAUUCAUAUUUAACUGUCAGAGGUGAAAUUCUUGGAUUUGUUAAGGAUGAACGACUGCGAAAGCAUUUGCCAAGGAUGCUUUCAUUGAUCAAGACGAAAGUUAACACG